RNAcentral lists this ribosomal RNA (253 nucleotides) under uncultured bacterium. Its description in RNAcentral is "partial 16S ribosomal RNA". It matches the Rfam family "Bacterial small subunit ribosomal RNA", at positions 524 to 776 of the family's 1533-position model. The record is from RNAcentral.
GACAGAGGAUGCAAGCGUUAUCCGGAAUGAUUGGGCGUAAAGCGUCCGUAGGUGGCUUUUUAAGUCUGCCGUCAAAUCCCAGGGCUUAACCCUGGACAGGCGGUGGAAACUACCAAGCUGGAGUACGGUAGGGGCAGGGGGAAUUUCCGGUGGAGCGGUGAAAUGCGUAGAGAUCGGAAAGAACACCAACGGCGAAAGCACUCUGCUGGGCCGACACUGACACUGAGAGACGAAAGCUAGGGGAGCGAAUGGG